AGCAGCCGCGGUAAUUCCAGCUCCAAUAGCGUAUAUUAAAGUUGUUGCAGUUAAAAAGCUCGUAGUUGAAUUUCGGGAUCAAUGUGUUGGUCGUGCCUUGGUACGUACUGGCAUUAUCGAUUCCUACCUUCUGAAGAACCUCGAUGUCAUUAAUUUGGUGUCUUGGGGAAUCAGGACUGUUACUUUGAAAAAUUAGAGUGUUUAAAGCAGGCUCGCGCUUGAAUACAUUAGCAUGGAAUAAUGAAAUAGGACGUUUGAUUCUAUUUUGUUGGUUUCUAGGAUCGACGUAAUGAUUAAUAGGGAUAGUUGGGGGCAUUAGUAUUCAAUUGUCAGAGGUGAAAUUCUUGGAUUUAUUGAAGACUAACUACUGCGAAAGCAUUUGCCAAGGAUGUUUUCAUUAAUCAAGAACGAAAGUUAGGGGAUCGAAGACGAUCAGAUACCGUCGUAGUCUUAACCAUAAACUAUGCCGACUAGGGAUCGGAUGAUGU
RNAcentral lists this ribosomal RNA (488 nucleotides) under uncultured Glomus. RNAcentral describes it as "SSU rRNA". It matches the Rfam family "Eukaryotic small subunit ribosomal RNA", at positions 569 to 1063 of the family's 1831-position model. Lineage: Eukaryota; Fungi; Glomeromycota; Glomeromycetes; Glomerales; Glomeraceae. The record is from RNAcentral.